This 273-nucleotide ribosomal RNA is filed under the name uncultured Staphylococcus sp. Its description in RNAcentral is "partial 16S ribosomal RNA". It matches the Rfam family "Bacterial small subunit ribosomal RNA", at positions 89 to 355 of the family's 1533-position model. Lineage: Bacteria; Bacillati; Bacillota; Bacilli; Caryophanales; Staphylococcaceae. The record is from RNAcentral.
ACGUUAGCGGCGGACGGGUGAGUAACACGUGGGUAACCUACCUAUAAGACUGGGAUAACUUCGGGAAACCGGAGCUAAUACCGGAUAAUAUUUCGAACCGCAUGGUUCUAUAGUGAAAGAUGGUUUUGCUAUCACUUAUAGAUGGACCUGCGCCGUAUUAGCUAGUUGGUAAGGUAACGGCUUACCAAGGCGACGAUACGUAGCCGACCUGAGAGGGUGAUCGGCCACACUGGAACUGAGACACGGUCCAGACUCCUACGGGAGGCAGCAGUU